RNAcentral lists this long non-coding RNA (2289 nucleotides) under Homo sapiens (human). Its description in RNAcentral is "HSALNT0213313". The record is from RNAcentral. Lineage: Eukaryota; Metazoa; Chordata; Mammalia; Primates; Hominidae.
AGAUAUAAGCACAUUACAUCAUCCUGCGGUACGGUGUCUUUCAUACCGGUGAUCAUUGUGGUCGGGGCGAAAAGAAUCAUCUUAACUGAGAAUUAUAAAGAACCGAAGACCAAGACGCAGGACUUUUUAAAGCAGAGCAUCCUCCACACAGUUCUCUCCCCAGGAGAAGUCUGCUGUAAAACAUCAGUCAUAAACAAGAAAUUCUGUUUAUACCAUAGAGCUUUAUUUUCCAUAAAAAAAUUUCCAGAUAUUCCAUUUUCAUUUUAAAUUCAGAGCCUUGUUUUUAUGGAAGACAUUUUCACUGCAAUUUUGGAUAUAAUGUCUGUAUGACAAGGCUACAGGCAUUGCUCCUACUGUAAACAAAAUGUUAAAACCACACAUUUUGGAGAAAUUGAGUUUUAGCACUUUUUAUACUUGUAGAUGGAAUGAGGGAAAACAUUUUUAAUAACAAUUGUGGCUGGGUUUAGAGCUUUCUUUUGGUAGCGCCUGUUAGUAGUGAGAUGAAAGAUGAUGAGUUCGGUUAAGGAUGUGCCAGGACCUAAGGUUCAGUACUGUGAGUGGCCUUCUCCCAGCCAGACUGCCCACGAGGCUGCGAUAAUGCUCAUGGUGCAUUACACGAUUUACUUCUGACCCAUUCCAGCCAAAAAGCAAUCCCCACAAAGUCCCCUGGUCUUUUCCUUUUCUUUUUACCCACAGCAGCCUUCUCUUUACCUCCUCUUCAAACACAAGAGCCAGUUUUCAAGUCCCAUUUCAGUUCAGGGUAGCCCUGGGACAUUUUCCUCUACCCCCAGGUGACCUCUGGUUGCCAGCACUGCCUGCAACCUGAGCUUGAGAGUCCCAGUUCCACAUGGAAUUCCCAGAGGCACCCAACCUAAAGGAGCCCUGAGUGAAUUCUCAGAGGUCUUUCCAGACUUGGCUGUGAUAUAGGCCGCAGCCAGACCUGCAGCAUACAACCUGCACAGCCCAAUGUCCUGGUUUCCAUUUAUACCUGGUAAGUCACUGUUUUGUGGAUAUUUAGUCUCUUGUUGUUCCUCCUUUAGUCGUAAGGAUGACUAAGUUUAAUGAAUACAGGAUUUGUAGCUUAGAGAUCUGAGUUUUAUUACUGGUUUGACAUUAAGUGACCCUAAGCUAUUCAUUUAAUCUUUUUAUUGGGUAAGCAUACUUACAUAUGAAGUGGCCUGUUUUGAGAGCUUUUAGAUUGCCUUUAAAGCACUUUGAUCUCCCUGGAAGUAGGUGCUAGGUAAAUAAAAGUUACUCUCAAUAGUUUUUCUACAGUAGCAACAGUGGAUUCCAGUUUAGUUCUGAUAAUUCACUAAACUAGGGGCUGCCUUGUAAACUGUAAUAAAAUGUAAAGAGAAUCCCAUUGCUAGCUGUACUUUUCAUCUCUGCAUGUCAGAGAAUUCACUGACUUGGUAGCCACAGGAAUGAAAACUGGUGACUCACAAGAACUCUGCAAAUGGUGUUAUUUUUCAUUUCCCUAUGGUGUUGCUAUUGUUCCCAAUUUUAUGGAUCACACAAGUUUUCAUCAAACGACCUUGUUCUCCCGCUGUUUUGACAUCACCCCAAAUGUAGCCUCAGGGUUGUCGUCUCCCAUUGGGUCAGUGUAAGCUCAGCCCAGCGCCUCAAAUCCCUUGGUUCCUUUGGUCUGUCUGGAGUCCUAUUCAGGCUUUGUUGUGGGAGAAGAAGGCAAAGAGCCCACGACUUGCCCAGACAGUCUGAGGCCUGGCCAUGUAGCUUGCAGUUCCCUAGACACUCUGGAGUUGGACUUGGCCAGCCAUCCCUCUGUUGUUACUUUUCAGAGGUAAUAAGUGAGAUUAAUUGCAGGCCAUUCUCCGGAAGAGAAAGUAGUUAGAGCCAAAUACAGUCACAUGUUUAGAAGCCUGAGGUGUGCCUCCAAGCAAGGCCGACUUAGAAUUAUACAGUAGGGACUCCAGGAUGCAGGUACCAAGUGUUUAUGACCUCUCUCUUCCUUAAAGUGAUGUUUUCAGUUUCUAGGUGCUGAUACGUGGGUGUGUUAACUUUUCUUUAGCCAAUGAGAAAGAUUAGAUUUUUCAAGCUGCCUUUUAAUUAUCCAUUUUUGGGGUACAUGGGAAGUCAUUAGGAGCUGAAAGUUGAUGUGCAGAGCCAUCUCAUCAUUACUGCCAGCCUUCCAUGGAAUUGGACUGCAUCAGGGAGGAUUUUCUAGGUGUGGAGCACUCAGUGGGUUCUUAGUGCGUUUUUCUUUGUGAGACAUGGAAGGGUUACUGUAAAGUCUUGGCUGCUGCCCUGUUUUUUUCCAGUCCAGCCCUU